GCAGCAGAGCAUAUCGUCGACAUCGUCGGUCGACGCAUAUCAGUGGGCGGGUUCGUGGACUCUCCGCGUAACUAUUAAUAAAGCUCGGCUUGUCUCUUCAAGGUCGUAGUCAUGCCUUCGAAAAGAGAUAUAUAUUGUACGGGCACUGCGCGAUUUACCGAUAUAUAAAUAAGCGCAAUUUGGAAAAUAACAUGAAUUUGUUGGACAUUCGAAAGUGAUCUUUCACCAAGUAAGAAACGGGGAUCAUUGUUUUGAAAAUGGAAGAUCUCAUACGCGUGUAAAGGUCACCGUUAAGAUCGGGUUACUCAAACGGGAAGGUCUCUAUACCGUGAUGUAUCGCUGUUUAAACCGAGGAAGAUCGAUUUACGGAAUUGAUUUUAGUGAGUGAGUCUUCUCGAACAACAAAGCACACAUAUUCGUAAGACACUGUUAUUAAAUCGUAUACGAUAAAAUCACGGAUUCGACAAUUUUUGACAUUCGAUUUUGUCGAUAGAAAAAAAAAAAAAAAAGAACCAAUUGGUUGCAUAAUAUAUCUUAAUGACAACGAUUGCUUUAUCGGUAGAUGUAGCAUUGAUACUGACCAGUCGAUGUUCAAUUGUUCAGGCAAACAAAAGAAUAGCAAAAAAAAAAAAAAGAAAAAAACAGUUGCAAUGGGUAGGAUUGGUAGGCGUAUGAUCAAAAACCAAACUGUGUUAACAUAAUCGGUUGAAGUCGAUCGACAAAAUUAACGAUACGGUCAAAAUGUGUUGUGUGAAUUUACAGCAAAAUGAAUAUUUUCCGUUUGUUCUGUUUGUUUGUAAGAAAAUAAUAUUUCAGAUUAUUUCUCUCAAAUAUAUUUGUUAGCUCGUUAAAUAUAAGCCAAUAGUAUCUAUCAUUUUUUUUCUCCCUUAAUUUUUUUCCUAUAUGCACUUUUCUAACUCCGAUUAGCUUCCUGGUUAGAUUAAGUAAGGAUAGGUCGGGAGAUCGGGUUAAGCGCAUUUCUAAGACGAAAGACUCAUGUAGGGAGAGAAAGAAAAAGAGAGAGAGAGAGAGAGAGAGAGAGAGAGAGAGAAAGAGAGAGAGAGAGCCGAGAAAGAGAGAAAUCGUAACUCUCGUUUUCUCUCGGAUUUAGAGACGAAUAUAAAUCGGCGAGAGAUGGCGCCAGUAUCUUGGCGGCCAUACCAGUGUGCUACUAAAGUUGGCGUACACUCUCUGUGGGAGAGCAUCGUGAUGAAAGACAUGAAUAUGCCGGCUUUUCGUAGAUUACAAUACAUACAUACAUAUAUAUAUAUAUGUACAUAUAUAAUUUUAGUUUUGGUAAACAAACCGCAUGAGGAGUUUAUCGAAAAUAUAUAGCUAACUUUUGGAUUGAUAAAAAAGGAUUAUUAAGAAUGCUAUUGGUCACGUGAUAGCAUAAGCAUAUAAGAAGAAAAAAACAGAUUGAAGACAUAAUUCCACACACUGCCAAGAUCCACACACGCCAAAAAAAAAGAAACAAAACAAAACAAAAGAGAAUACAAUCCAAUU
Vespa mandarinia (Asian giant hornet) is the source of this 1506-nucleotide long non-coding RNA. RefSeq lists it as uncharacterized. The record is from RefSeq and is a predicted model, not a curated record. NCBI's taxonomy places the organism in Eukaryota, Metazoa, Arthropoda, Insecta, Hymenoptera, Vespidae.